UCAGAACGAACGCUGGCGGCAGGCCUAACACAUGCAAGUCGAGGGAUAUUAUUACUUUCGGGUAAUAUUAUACCGGCGCACGGGUGAGUAACGCGUGGGAAUAUACCAUAUGGUGGGGGACAACAGCUGGAAACGGCUGCUAAUACCGCAUACGCCCUAAGGGGGAAAGAUUUAUCGCCAUAUGAUUAGCCCGCGUUAGAUUAGAUAGUUGGUAGGGUAAUUGCCUGCCAAGUCUACGAUCUAUAGCUGGUCUGAGAGGAUGAUCAGCCACACUGGGACUGAGACACGGCCCAGACUCCUACGGGAGGCAGCAGUGGGGAAUAUUGCGCAAUGGAGGAAACUCUGACGCAGCCAUGCCGCGUGAGUGAAGAAGGCCUUAGGGUUGUAAAGCUCUUUCAAUAGGGAAGAUGAUGACGGUACCUAUAGAAGAAGCCCCGGCUAACUUCGUGCCAGCAGCCGCGGUAAUACGAAGGGGGCAGGCGUUGUUCGGAAUUACUGGGCGUAAAGGGCGUGUAGGCGGAUAUGUUAGUUAG
This 533-nucleotide ribosomal RNA is filed under the name uncultured bacterium. RNAcentral describes it as "bacterial SSU rRNA". It matches the Rfam family "Bacterial small subunit ribosomal RNA", at positions 24 to 591 of the family's 1533-position model. The record is from RNAcentral.